This 248-nucleotide unclassified non-coding RNA is filed under the name uncultured fungus. RNAcentral's name for it is "partial contains 5.8S ribosomal RNA, internal transcribed spacer 2, and large subunit ribosomal RNA". The stretch from base 1 to 52 matches the Rfam family "5.8S ribosomal RNA", at positions 103 to 154 of the family's 154-position model. Lineage: Eukaryota; Fungi. The record is from RNAcentral.
AACGCACAUUGCGCCCGCCAGUAUUCUGGCGGGCAUGCCUGUCCGAGCGUCAUUUCAACCAUCAAGCCCCGGGCUUGUGUUGGGGCCCUGCGGCUGUCCGCAGCCCCCGAAAUUCAGUGGCGGGCUCGCUGUCACGCCGAGCGCAGUAGGUAACUCUCGCUUGGGCCGUGGCGGCGGGCGCCAGCCGUGAAACCCCCCAUCUCCUCAAGGUUGACCUCGGAUCAGGUAGGAAUACCCGCUGAACUUAA